UACGUAGGUGGCAAGCGUUGUCCGGAAUUAUUGGGCGUAAAGCGCGCGCAGGCGGUCCUUUAAGUCUGAUGUGAAAUCUUGCGGCUCAACCGCAAGCGGUCAUUGGAAACUGGGGGACUUGAGUACAGAAGAGGAAAGCGGAAUUCCACGUGUAGCGGUGAAAUGCGUAGAGAUGUGGAGGAACACCAGUGGCGAAGGCGGCUUUCUGGUCUGUAACUGACGCUGAGGCGCGAAAGCGUGGGGAGCAAACAGG
Molecule: ribosomal RNA, 253 nt
Filed under: uncultured bacterium
Lineage: Bacteria
Description: partial 16S ribosomal RNA
Rfam family: Bacterial small subunit ribosomal RNA
Source: RNAcentral